GACGAACGCUGGCGGCGUGCUUAACACAUGCAAGUCGAACGGAAAGGCCCUGCUUUUGUGGGGUGCUCGAGUGGCGAACGGGUGAGUAACACGUGAGUAACCUGCCCUUGACUUUGGGAUAACUUCAGGAAACUGGGGCUAAUACCGGAUAGGAGCUCCUGCUGCAUGGUGGGGGUUGGAAAGUUUCGGCGGUUGGGGAUGGACUCGCGGCUUAUCAGCUUGUUGGUGGGGUAGUGGCUUACCAAGGCUUUGACGGGUAGCCGGCCUGAGAGGGUGACCGGCCGCAUUGGGGGUGAUAGCGGCCCCAGACUCCACGGGGGGCAAGGGGGGGGGAUUAUGGCAAAAGGGGCGGAAGCGUGAUGCAGCAGCGCCGCGUGGGGGAGGACGGCCUGCGGGUUAAAAACCGUUUCCGCCGGGAAAGAAGCGGGAGCGACGUUAAUGGAUAAAGAAGCACCGGCUAACUCCGUC
RNAcentral lists this ribosomal RNA (468 nucleotides) under uncultured bacterium. Its description in RNAcentral is "partial 16S ribosomal RNA". It matches the Rfam family "Bacterial small subunit ribosomal RNA", at positions 28 to 507 of the family's 1533-position model. The record is from RNAcentral.